RNAcentral lists this ribosomal RNA (256 nucleotides) under uncultured bacterium. RNAcentral's name for it is "partial 16S ribosomal RNA". It matches the Rfam family "Bacterial small subunit ribosomal RNA", at positions 521 to 776 of the family's 1533-position model. The record is from RNAcentral.
UAAUACGUAGGGAGCGAGCGUUGUCCGGAAUUACUGGGCGUAAAGGGCGCGUAGGCGGGGGUUUAAGUAAGGUGUGAAAACUCCGGGCUCAACCUGGAGACUGCACUUUAAACUGGAUCUCUUGAGGGCAGGAGAGGAAAGUGGAAUUCCUAGUGUAGCGGUGAAAUGCGUAGAUAUUAGGAGGAACACCAGUGGCGAAGGCGACUUUCUGGACUGUACCUGACGCUGAGGCGCGAAAGCGUGGGGAGCGAACAGG